This 576-nucleotide ribosomal RNA is filed under the name Cladonema radiatum. Its description in RNAcentral is "16S ribosomal RNA". It matches the Rfam family "Bacterial large subunit ribosomal RNA", at positions 1833 to 2578 of the family's 2925-position model. The record is from RNAcentral. Lineage: Eukaryota; Metazoa; Cnidaria; Hydrozoa; Anthoathecata; Cladonematidae.
GCCCUUUCAUAAAUAAAAGGUGUCACCUGCCCAAUGGUUAUUAAGUAAGAAUAGUAAACUUUUCUUAAAAUAAUUUAAAGGACGCGGUACCCUGACCGUGAUAAUGUAGCAUAAUCACUCGCCAUUUAAUUGAUGGAUAGUAUGAAUGGUUGAACGAAUAUAACACUGUCUCUAAUAGAAAAUUUAUAAAAUUGGAAUAAUAGUAAAGAUACUAUUUAAAACUGUAAGACGAAAAGACCCUAUAGAGCUUAACUAUAAUCUUUAAUAUAAAAAUUAAGUUUACUUAUAUUAUUUUUAAAGACUGGUAGUUUAGUUGGGGCGACUGUCUUUUAUAGCAAACAAAGACAAGCAAUAUUAAUAAAUUAAUUUACUGUAUAAAUAAUAAUUUUAACAGUUAUUAACAUAGGCUAUAAUGACCCGUUUAUAUAUCAAAUACUAAUAAACGAUCAAUAAAUAAAAGCUACCUUAGGGAUAACAGGAUAAUUUCAUUUUAGAGUCCCAAUCGAAAAUGAAGUUUGUCACCUCUAUGUUGAAUUAAGAUAUCCUGAUAAUGCAGAAGUUAUCAAAGGUAGGUCU